Entelurus aequoreus (snake pipefish) is the source of this 1305-nucleotide long non-coding RNA. RefSeq lists it as uncharacterized. NCBI's taxonomy places the organism in Eukaryota, Metazoa, Chordata, Actinopteri, Syngnathiformes, Syngnathidae. The transcript has 3 exons. The record is from RefSeq and is a predicted model, not a curated record.
GCCAUUUUAAAUUUCCCGGGGAACUUCCUGUUGAAAACGCCUUUGGAGGAUGACGUAUGCGCGUGACGUCGCGAGGUCCACGGAAUUGUUUGGACCCUUUUGGACACAAUACACAGAGCUCUGUUUUCUUCGACCAAAUUCCACAGUAUUCUGGACAUCUGUGUUGGUGAAUCUUUUGCAAUUUGUUUAAUGAACAAUGGAGGCUGCAAAGAAGAACGUUGUAGGUGGGAUCGGUGUAUGCGGCUGGCUGUAGCAACACAACAAGGAGGACUUUGUUGGAUAGAAGACGCGCUAGCAGCGAACUCACCUUGACUUCCUACGUCUCCGGGCCGCCGACCGCAUCGUCGAUCGCUGGAACGCAGAAGGAUGCUGUUCUGGCCCAAGGACUUCAGAGCGGAGAGAUGACAGGAUCUGCCCAAUUUCCAGACGAACUCUUUUUGAAGUAUUGACCUGCAUCACCUGGGAGGACUUGACAGUACACGGACUCAUUCAGUUCCUGACCUACUAACCUCCAUAUUACCGUCAAACGAGAGUCCACGUCUGCUGCACACCUUCUUGUUCUGCUGACAUGCAGAGAAAAUGACAAAAAAAAGGUUAUUACCCAAGAAGGAGAAGGAAAGUCUCACCGGUAGACUUUGAGUGCGUACUCACACUAGGACAUUGGUAUAGCGUGUUGGACUAUGGGUGCGAUUCCACCCCCCCUUCCUGGUGCUCGCUGGCCUGCGUUCCCACUGAGCGUGGACAUAUUGACGGCUGGAGGUUACAAGAGUCAACCAUCAUCCCUCCAAUGAAAAUACACAUCCCAUGUGAUGUCUGGUCAGGCGCUCACCUCUCAGAACGGACGUGUCAGCGGGCGGACGGCCGGUUCAGAGGUCAUGGUGGCCAGCGCGUUUUGGACGUCUGUCCUCAGUUGGUUGCCGUCAACAGAAAGACAUGCACUGGCAGAGGGGGCAGGAUGUUGAAAACAAGGUUUUGUGAAGGAAAAAAAAUGUUUUCCCACUGGGGUCUUUGCCUUCGCGCGUGCCACGGUCUUCUCAUUAGACAGUUUUAUGGUAAGCCUGCGUACAAACAGACCUAGAAGUUAAACAGUCCAGUACAGUAUGUCCACCAUCAUGAAAACAUGGCCUUGUCUUUUUUUGUUGACUCGGACACGCACACGUGAAAAAAUCCCAUAGGGGAGUCUUCCUCAUGCUCUUAUCGGCCAGCAUCAGGAGAACUUCACAGGAUGCUCCAAGCUUCCGUCCUCCUAAAAGUGUCAACAGAACGUCUAGCGUCCAGGAAGCAGCAGGAGGACCACCAUGUCUA